This 1044-nucleotide ribosomal RNA is filed under the name Oidiodendron sp. RNAcentral describes it as "SSU rRNA". It matches the Rfam family "Eukaryotic small subunit ribosomal RNA", at positions 62 to 1118 of the family's 1831-position model. The record is from RNAcentral. Lineage: Eukaryota; Fungi; Ascomycota; Leotiomycetes; Myxotrichaceae.
AGUAUAGCAACUAUACCGUGAAACUGCGAAUGGCUCAUUAAAUCAGUUAUCGUUUAUUUGAUAGUACCUUACUACUUGGAUAACCGUGGUAAUUCUAGAGCUAAUACAUGCUAAAAACCUCGACUUCGGAAGGGGUGUAUUUAUUAGAUAAAAAACCAAUGCCCUCCGGGGCUCUCUGGUGAUUCACAAUAACUUAACGAAUCGCAUGGCCUUGUGCCGGCGAUGGUUCAUUCAAAUUUCUGCCCUAUCAACUUUCGAUUGUAUGGUCUUGGCUUACAAUGGUUUCAACGGGUAACGGGGAAUUAGGGUUCUAUUCCGGAGAGGGAGCCUGAGAAACGGCUACCACAUCCAAGGAAGGCAGCAGGCGCGCAAAUUACCCAAUCCCGACACGGGGAGGUAGUGACAAUAAAUACUGAUACAGGGCUCUUUUGGGUCUUGUAAUUGGAAUGAGUACAAUUUAAAUCCCUUAACGAGGAACAAUUGGAGGGCAAGUCUGGUGCCAGCAGCCGCGGUAAUUCCAGCUCCAAUAGCGUAUAUUAAAGUUGUUGCAGUUAAAAAGCUCGUAGUUGAACCUUGGGCCUGGCUGGCCGGUCCGCCUCACCGCGUGCACUGGUCCGGCCGGGCCUUUCCUCCUGGGGAGCCGCAUGCCCUUCACUGGGUGUGUCGGGGAACCAGGACUUUUACUUUGAAAAAAUUAGAGUGUUCAAAGCAGGCCUAUGCUCGAAUACAUUAGCAUGGAAUAAUAGAAUAGGACGUGUGGUUCUAUUUUGUUGGUUUCUAGGACCGCCGUAAUGAUUAAUAGGGAUAGUCGGGGGCAUCAGUAUUCAAUUGUCAGAGGUGAAAUUCUUGGAUUUAUUGAAGACUAACUACUGCGAAAGCAUUUGCCAAGGAUGUUUUCAUUAAUCAGUGAACGAAAGUUAGGGGAUCGAAGACGAUCAGAUACCGUCGUAGUCUUAACCAUAAACUAUGCCGACUAGGGAUCGGGCGAUGUUAUCUUUUUGACUCGCUCGGCACCUUACGAGAAAUCAAAGUCUUUGGUCUGGG